AGCAGCCGCGGUAAUUCCAGCUCCAAUAGCGUAUAUUAAAGUUGUUGCAGUUAAAAAGCUCGUAGUUGAAUUUCGAGAUCAGUACGCUGGUCGUGCCUUCGGUAUGCACUGGUGUCACUGGUUUCUCCCUUCUGAAGAACCGUCAUGCCAUUCAGUUGGUGUGGCGGGGAAUCAGGACUGUUACUUUGAAAAAUUAGAGUGUUUAAAGCAGGCUCGCGCUUGAAUACAUUAGCAUGGAAUAAUGAAAUAGGACGUUUGACCCUAUUUUGUUGGUUUCUAGGAUCGACGUAAUGAUUAAUAGGGAUAGUUGGGGGCAUUAGUAUUCAAUUGUCAGAGGUGAAAUUCUUGGAUUUAUUGAAGACUAACUACUGCGAAAGCAUUUGCCAAGGAUGUUUUCAUUAAUCAAGAACGAAAGUUAGGGGAUCGAAGACGAUCAGAUACCGUCGUAGUCUUAACCAUAAACUAUGCCGACUAGGGAUCGGAUGAUG
Molecule: ribosomal RNA, 488 nt
Filed under: uncultured Glomus
Lineage: Eukaryota; Fungi; Glomeromycota; Glomeromycetes; Glomerales; Glomeraceae
Description: SSU rRNA
Rfam family: Eukaryotic small subunit ribosomal RNA
Source: RNAcentral